This 64-nucleotide transfer RNA is filed under the name Eiconaxius baja. RNAcentral describes it as "tRNA-Leu". Lineage: Eukaryota; Metazoa; Arthropoda; Malacostraca; Decapoda; Axiidae. The record is from RNAcentral.
GCUAAGAUGGCAGAUAAAUGUAUGGGAUUUAGGUUCCUUUUAUGAAGAUAUUCUUCUUUUAGUA